Molecule: ribosomal RNA, 399 nt
Filed under: uncultured bacterium
Lineage: Bacteria
Description: partial 16S ribosomal RNA
Rfam family: Bacterial small subunit ribosomal RNA
Source: RNAcentral
AAUAUUGGACAAUGGGGGCAACGCUGAUCCAGCCAUGCCGCGUGUGUGAAGAAGGUCUUCGGAUCGUAAAGCUCUGUCCUCAGGGCAGAGGAAGGUGACGGUACCUGAGGAGGAAGCACCGGCUACCUACGUGUCAGCAGCCGCGGUACUACGUAGGGGGCAAGCGGUGUCCGGAAUUAUUGGGCGUAAAGGGUGCGUAGGCGGCUUUUUAAGUCAGAUGUGAAAGACCACAGCUUAACUGUGGGGUUGCAGUUGAAACUGGAGAGCUUGAGUAUCGGAGAGGGUAGUGGAAUUCCUGGAGUAGCGGUGAAAUGCGUAGAUAUCAGGAGGAACACCAGUGGCGAAGGCGACUACCUGGACGAAAACUGACGCUGAGGCACGAAAGCUAGGGGAGCAAAC